GUCCACGCUGUAAACGAUGGGCACUAGGUGUCCGGGUAUUGACCCCUGGGUGCCGCAGCUAACGCAUUAAGUGCCCCGCCUGGGGAGUACGGUCGCAAGAUUAAACUCAAAGGAAUUGACGGGGCCCGCACAAGCGGUGGAGCAUGUGGUUCAAUUUCGACGCAACGCGAAGAACCUUACCUGGACUAGACAACAGUGGAUCGUCCUAGAAUAGGAUUUUCCCUUCGGGGACCGCUGGUUCAGGUGCUGCAUGGCUGUCGU
RNAcentral lists this ribosomal RNA (261 nucleotides) under uncultured bacterium. RNAcentral's name for it is "partial 16S ribosomal RNA". It matches the Rfam family "Bacterial small subunit ribosomal RNA", at positions 793 to 1055 of the family's 1533-position model. The record is from RNAcentral.